Odocoileus virginianus texanus is the source of this 1547-nucleotide non-coding RNA. The record is from RefSeq and is a predicted model, not a curated record. Lineage: Eukaryota; Metazoa; Chordata; Mammalia; Artiodactyla; Cervidae.
GUAGCAGUGAGCUGGGAGCCCGAGUCCCCCUUCCUGGCUGUGUCUGUAACCCAGACUCUGAGUUCUGCGCACCUCCCCCGACAGCCUCUUUCUGGGAUCGCUCAUCUGCAAAGUGGCCAACAGUACCCAGACUUCCUCAAAGAAGAUGCCCAGCUCGGGUUGCUGACUCAGAGAGUGGCGUGCCGUCAGGAGGCAGGACUGGCUGUCAGGAGAUGGCUGACAACCUGGGGUGCGAUUUCAGGGCAGCGGUGCAGGGAUGGGGGCAGCUGGCUGGCCAGCCUCUUGGGAAGAGGCAACAGGGGCCCCAUGUUCCAACUUAGAAUUCCUGGAGAUGUUUCAGCAGGAACGUCUAAAAAAUCUUCAUUUUGCAAAAAGCCACACUCCUUACAAACUUGUAUACAGUUGUAAGCAAUGUUGCAAGUAGGCUCUUCUGUUUCCUCAUUUGCAAAAUGAGGACAUGAGAAAAGAAACACAGGUCAGGAGAGAUGGAUGCACAGCAUACAGCCCUCAAACUAAUAAAAAACUUACCUGGAACACUGUGCCUGCAUGAGGGCCCAUCACCCCAGUGACUGUAAAUAAAGUUAUCCCCGGCACCUGGGGCACAGUUAGUGCUUAAUAAAUGUUGAAUGAACAAUGAAUGCACAGGAACCAUUUUUAAAAGGAUCUGCCACUUUCCCUGCUUCCUUGAGCCACACAAAGCAAGUGUAUAUAUAGAAACCACCCCAGCCGCGCAUUCGAGUAACGUGAGAGCAAAUCACGAAGAAGCCCAGCUAUGUCCACCUGCCAGGGAAGCUCCCAGCUGUUGGUGUCAAGGACUGGCGUGAAGUAACAUGGAACCUCCACACUGAUGAGACAGAUUGCUGUUGUUUUUAAGCAAACCAUCACAGUGGCUCGGGGCUUCCCUCGAAGAAACCCCACACCUUCGGCCAAGAGACAAGGAACCUGGUAGGCAGAGCUGCAUCCUCCAGGCUGCACUGUCACAGACAUCUUCUAGGCCAUCUGCAAACAGCUCUCAGGAGCCCACAGGCUGACAGGCGGCGUCCGGAGAUGAUCAGAUUUCUAUCAGUGCCGACACAUGGCACUUCUCUCUGGCUCCCAUUCAAGACACCACUCCUUCCUGAACAAUCAAGCCUUUAAGGAUAUGGCCCUGUAUCCGUGGUACACACUGCCUCACCAGUGUUCUGCCUGCCGCUGACAAACCCCCCGACAUGGUCUCGAUUUCCCUGUUCCCCCUUCCUCUCAAAGAUGGGCGCACACAUUCAUCUCCAUCCCAGCCAAUCAGGCAACACUGUCCCCAGACUCUCAACACCACAACAGUCUUCCUCCUGACCUUCAGAGAACAACCCCCCGCUAGCUGAUUUUUCCUUCAGCACAGUGGCGUCAACUUGUUUCGGACUCUAAGUUCAAAACCACUGGCCUAACAUCCUGGUGAUUCCAUGCAUACUAAGAAGUCAGGAUGUGAUGCCCCCUGUGGAGGGAACACAGGGAAUGCUGGGCACCAGUCACACUGUGUUUCUUGAUCUGGGUGCUGCUGACUGCAAAGGCGU